GAACGAUUUAAAUGUCGUGUUUUUUGAUUCAGUCGUUAUCUAUUUUUGUAACAGUGGGAUGACAACUACAUCCGUGUGUAGUUUUCAUUUGGAAAAGAAAUAAACAUAUUCAGGUGAAUCUCUUUUUCAAAACAUGUCUACCUUUUCGCUAAGUUUGUACAUUUACACGGUACUGGUAUGUUUAUCUCCAUAUGUAGAAUCAUUUAGUUCCUGCAAAGAAGUAUACUUGUCAAAGAAUCGAAAUAACAGUUGAGAAUAUUUACUUUAUCAUAACGAAAAACCUUUUAAGGUAUAUUGCUUCUUCGAGGGAGAUUGGGUGUAUACAUUUAUAUCAAAGUCGUCGUAUAACACAUCAA
Long non-coding RNA from Mytilus californianus (California mussel), 356 nucleotides. RefSeq lists it as uncharacterized. NCBI's taxonomy places the organism in Eukaryota, Metazoa, Mollusca, Bivalvia, Mytilida, Mytilidae. The transcript has 3 exons. The record is from RefSeq and is a predicted model, not a curated record.